AGCAGUCGCCGCGGGAAAACGGAGGGUGCAAGCGUUACUCGGAAUCACUGGGCGUAAAGGACGCGUAGGCGGAUUAUCAAGUCUCUUGUGAAAUCUAACGGCUUAACCGUUAAACUGCUUGGGAAACUGAUAAUCUAGAGUAAGGGAGAGGCAGAUGGAAUUCUUGGUGUAGGGGUAAAAUCCGUAGAUAUCAAGAAGAAUACCUAUUGCGAAGGCGAUCUGCUGGAACUUAACUGACGCUAAUGCGUGAAAGCGUGGGGAGCAAACAGGAUUAGAUACCCCCGUAGUCCCUGUCUCUUAUAC
RNAcentral lists this ribosomal RNA (303 nucleotides) under uncultured bacterium. RNAcentral's name for it is "partial 16S ribosomal RNA". It matches the Rfam family "Bacterial small subunit ribosomal RNA", at positions 507 to 807 of the family's 1533-position model. The record is from RNAcentral.